Non-coding RNA from Biomphalaria pfeifferi, 1090 nucleotides. The record is from the annotation of a GenBank genome assembly. NCBI's taxonomy places the organism in Eukaryota, Metazoa, Mollusca, Gastropoda, Planorbidae.
CACCAAAAGCUAUUUUAUAUGGUCUAAUUUUUUUUCUCUUUCCUAUAUCCUGUACACAACAUGGUGAAAUAAAGAUUGAAUAAUUGUAAUCAAAUUAUGUUCUUAUUCACACAUUAAUAUGCAUAACUAAAUGCAUGACCCGUAGGACGUAAUCACCUUCUUUUUUGAAGUAACGUCUGUAUCAUAUAAGAUAAGUUAACACAAGUAACAUUAAUUUAUCUUCAUGUCUGUAGUCCUAUUCUAAAAAGUAUCACCCAAAAAUACAAUUAAUGAAAUAAUUCUUUGCAAAUGAUAUAAUUUAUUCAUUUCAUGGGUCAAAGUUCUAAAAAGCAAAAAAUUCACAUUUCGAAUGUUUUCCUUGCAUAACUUUCAUAGCAGUGAAGGAAAAAAAACAACAAAGGUACAAAACAAUUUUACAUUUAAGAAGCAUUCAUUGCAUGCCAAGAACUUUAUGCAACACCUGGAUGCUUUGACAUAUAAAUGAUUCCCUUUCCUAAUCACAUUUAAGUAAUAAUUAUAACUGGACUAAUGUGUGCAUAGAGAUGAUCAAAACAAUUACAAUAUGCCUUAAGACUGAAAGUAAGACUUUAAUACCAGUUUAGGGAAAUAAACAUUUCACUAUGUUGUGUUCAUAACAUUAGCCCACUAAUGUCAAUAUUUUAUAUAAUAAUUAUUAUAACUGCUCUUUACAAUUCAUAAUUCACAUAUAUGCCAGCAUGGCGUGUCUCUUGAUAGACCUACAGCUCAAGCUAAUUACUACAGAUAAGGAGAAAACAGUUUAUAUGUUGACCAAAGCAUUUCAAACUGUGGAGUCAAGUAACAUACACGCAAAAGUUUCAUAUUAAAAGAUUAGCUCUUAAUAUACAGACAGUAUAAAGGCUUGACAGUGUUCACAACAAAUAGUCAAUAUUUCAUAAACACAUAUAUUUAACAAUGUAGUAACACAUUUGAAUCAAGUUGGGAAAACAAAAAUAUUAACACCUAUGUAUUUAUUUGUAGCAAUGAUAAAAUGAAAGAAAAAAAAUUAAAUUAAAAAAACAAAUAUAACCUUGUGUAUGUAGGUUUCUUUUUUUUUUUUUUUUUUUUUUUU